This is an RNA transcript of Protobothrops mucrosquamatus (brown spotted pit viper), 3334 nucleotides long. It is a transcript of the gene named SPT20 homolog, SAGA complex component, with no coding region annotated. The transcript has 26 exons. The record is from RefSeq and is a predicted model, not a curated record. Lineage: Eukaryota; Metazoa; Chordata; Lepidosauria; Squamata; Viperidae.
GGAAGCUACUUACGACUGCGGGAUUGUAAAGCAGGACGAUAAUACUACUUGAUCGGUCAGAUAUUGGAGACUAUUUGAGAAUCAAAUACAGUCAAAAUUUUCAAUUGUAGAAGUAUUAAACAUGGACCUUAACAAUUCAGACCCUGCUCCUCAUUUCAGAAUCUAAAAGGUUUUUAAAAAGUCAUUGACUUCCUUUAUCAAUGAACUUCAGACAUGAUGCAGCAGAUUUUAGAAGUUGCACUGGAUCGUGCUGAGUAUAUCAUUGAAAGUGCUCGGCAGCGGCCUCCAAAACGAAAGUAUUUAUCUAGUGGGAGAAAAUCAGUAUUUCAAAAGUUAUAUGAAUUGUAUCUAGAAGAAUGUGACAAGGAGCCUGAAAUAAAGCAGAAGCUGAGACGAAAUGUGAACUUGUUGGAGAAGCUAGUUAUGCAAGAGACGUUGUCAUGCCUAGUAGUGAAUCUUUAUCCAGGAAAUGAAGGCUAUUCCUUGAUGCUCAGAGGAAAAAAUGGCUCAGAUUCAGAAACCAUUCGGCUUCCUUAUGAAGAGGGAGAAUUACUUGAAUAUUUGGAUGCUGAGGAGCUGCCUCCUAUUUUAGUUGACCUCCUUGAAAAAUCUCAGAUUAAUAUUUUCCAUUGUGGGUGUGUCAUAACAGAAAUACGUGACUAUAGACAGUCUGGCAAUCUGAAAACUCCAACAUAUCAAAGCAAACACAUUCUUUUGCGCCCAACAAUGCAGACCUUGAUUUGUGAUGUGCAUUCCAUUACAAGUGACAACCACAAGUGGACACAGGAAGACAAACUUCUAUUAGAAAGUCAACUUAUACUGGCAACAGCAGAACCUCUGUGUCUGGAUCCAUCAGUUGCUGUUACAUGCACAGCAAACCGGCUUUUGUAUAAUAAGCAGAAAAUGAACACUCAGCCAAUGAAACGAUGUUUCAAGAGAUAUUCCAGGCCAUCUCUGAAUCACCAGCAGGAGGUGUCUCAAAGUACCGUUCCACCACAGUUCAAGCUGUUUGAUUAUUUACAAAAAAGAAAGGAAAGGAGAGGAAACCAACAGUAUGAUCUCAAAAUUUCCAAAGCUGGAAAUUGUGUUGAUAUGUGGAAACAGAACCCCUGCUAUUUGACUGCACCAUCUGAAGUAGAUGUGGAAAAAUAUGCUAAAGUGGAAAAAUCUAUCAAAGCUGAUGACUCACAACCAAGUGUCUGGCCGAUUCAUGAAAUGAAAGAUGAUUAUGUCUUUGAAUGUGAAAGUGGCAAUCAUUUUCAGAAAACAAAAUUGACAAUUUUUCAGUCACUUGGAAAUCCAUUGUACUAUGGUAAAAUACAAACUCUUAAGAAUGAUGAGGAUAAUGAAAGUCCAUCACAUUUUCUUAUUGGCUCAAAGUCAGAAGCAGAAAGAGUAGUGAACCAAUACCAGGAGCUGGUUCAAAAUGAAGCUAAAUGUCCUGUGAAGAUUUUUCAUAACUCAAGUGGAUCAAUCCAUGUCAGUCAACUUUCUCCUGGGAAGGAACUAGAACAGACUGAGGGUGUGGCAGGUUAUAUUCAGUCUUCAGUGUUGGGAAAAGGUGUGAAACACAGACCACCUCCCAUCAAGCUACCUUCAAGUUCAGCAAGCAGUUCUUCAGGUAAUAUUUUUAGUCCACAGCAGUCAAGCAGUCAUCUCAAAUCCCCAACUCCUCCUCCUCCUCCUCCUCCUUCUGCUCUUCCUCCUCCUAAGCCUCCCUGUGUAUCUCGGAAGCAAUCUCUGGAUCUGAACCAAUUGAGCCUGCUUUCUUCGGCUUCUGGGUCUCCUGCAAGUGCUUCACAAAGAUCUGGAACUCCUAAGCCAGCUAUUCCUACUCCAACCAACACCCUUUCAUCGACCCCACACCCUGCUGAUGCUCAGAGCUCAACUCUGAUUACCCAUUCUGCUACCCUUACUCCCCAAGAUUCAGGCUUCACCCCUCAGCCCACUUUACUUACCCCGUUUGCUCAGCAGCAAAUGUCUCUGGGCCAGACAUUGCCUGUAAUGACCAUUCCUCUUUCCACCAUGGUAACUUCCGUUACUACAGGAACAUCUUCCAACCAGGUCAUGACAAACACUGCAGGACUUAACUUCAUCAAUGUAGUGGGCUCUGUGUGUGGAACACAAACAUUAAUGAGUGGUUCAAGUCCCAUGUUGGGGGGUAAUACUGGUGCAGCCUCCCCUGCAGGUAUAAACCUGAGUAAUAUUUUACCAUCAGGAAAUCUGGUGCCAAAUGCACUCCCUGCUGCAAUGCAGCAUACCUCUCAGCCAGCAGGUGUUCCUUUUGGUUUAAAAAAUGCUCCAGGCCUUCGCCCAUUGAAUCUUCUACAGCUUGCAGGUGGCUCACUGAUAUUCAACCCUCUCCAACAGCAGCAACAGCAACAACAACUCUCCCAGUUUUCAUCUCAGCUGCCUACAACUUCUAGUCCUCAGCCACAGGGAGAUCAGGGUUCUGAAGAAGUUCCCCUAAACCAAGAUCAAUCCUUAUCUGCUCAGCAAACUGCUGUUGUUAACUUGACUGGAGUAGGGAACUUUAUGCAACCUCAGGCAGCAGUUCUUUCCCCAUCAAAUGGUUAUGGCACUAGCAGCAUAAGCAGCUCUACUACAUCAUCAUCUAGGCACGCAGUCAAAAAGUAAAAAGAAAAAAAAAGCUUCACUGAUAUCAGACUCCUGAAACUUGCAUUUGAGAGAGAUAUUGCUUAAACAAAUAAUAUUUUCCUGAACUGAGCUGCUUUUUUAUUGCAGUGCCGCACUAUCCCUGAAAAAUGCUAACCAAAGCUAAGGUCAGCUCUGUGACUUUAGUUGCUGCCUAUAAAUGAAAAGACUUUAAUUACUUUCACAUCUUCAGCUUUUCUUUGCCUCCUAAGCAGCCUCAGUGGACUAGGCAUACAGCUGGUGCUAGGGCAUUCUUUUUGAUGUGUAUUCCCUGUUUAGUCUCUUGUAAUCCCUUCCUUUCCAAAGAAUGUAAAUACAAAGAUUAAUCCCCUUCUUGCUAAUUAUCCUAGCACCAGGGUGCAUGCUUCAAAGGGGGAGGGGGGAUGCUAAGGUAACAUUGUAAACAUGAUUUUUCACUUGGUGACCUCAUCACUUGAUGACUGAAUUGCUGGCCCCAAUUGUAGUUGCUAAAUGAGGAACAUCUGGACAGCAAAAACAAUUUUUAUGGAUGUUUAAAUAAAUCUCCCUCCCUCUGCUCACAUCAUGUUUUUUGGAAGUACUUGAAGGCUCCAAAAGGAAGAGGCAGCCAAGUAUUCUUUGCUAGUAUAGCUGCUCAUAAAUCUGGGAUUAUCUAAUAAAAUGGUAUUGUCUAUCGUAAUCUACACAUACACUUUUUGAU